Molecule: ribosomal RNA, 253 nt
Filed under: uncultured bacterium
Lineage: Bacteria
Description: partial 16S ribosomal RNA
Rfam family: Bacterial small subunit ribosomal RNA
Source: RNAcentral
UACGUAGGGUGCGAGCGUUAAUCGGAAUUACUGGGCGUAAAGCGUGCGCAGGCGGUUCGUUGUGUCGGCGGUGAAAGCCCCGGGCUUAACCUGGGAAUGGCCGUCGAAACUGGCGAACUGGAGUGUGGCAGAGGGGGGUGGAAUUCCGCGUGUAGCAGUGAAAUGCGUAGAGAUGCGGAGGAAUACCGAUGGCGAAGGCAGCCCCCUGGGCCAAUACUGACGCUCAUGCACGAAAGCGUGGGGAGCAAACAGG